This 156-nucleotide unclassified non-coding RNA is filed under the name uncultured Agaricales. RNAcentral's name for it is "sequence contains ITS1". Lineage: Eukaryota; Fungi; Basidiomycota; Agaricomycetes; Agaricales. The record is from RNAcentral.
UAGAAUAAGCUUGAACAGGUUGCUGCUGGCCCUUUGGGCAUGUGCACACCUGUGUCAUCUUUACUUCUCCAACUGUGCACACAUUGUAGGCCCUAGCGCCUUCUUAUUCAUACAUGAUAAUGUUUCAGAAUGUUUGUUGAAUACAUAUAUAUACAA